CCUACGGGUGGCAGCAGUGGGGAAUUUUGCGCAAUGCUCGUAAGAGUGACGCAGCGACGCCGCGUGAAUGACGAAGGCCUUCGGGUCGUAAAGUUCUUUCGACCGGGAAGAAAAUGCAUAUAAGUAACUGUGUAUGUAUUGACGGUACCUGUAUAAGCAGCCCCGGCUAACUCCGGGCCAGCAGCCGCGGUAAUACGGAGGGGGGGAGCGUUGUUCGGAGUGACUGGGCGUAAAGAGCAAGUAGGCGGUGGUGUAAGUCAUUAGUCAAAGACUAGAGCUCAACUUUAGUAACGCCAGUGAUACUAGAAGUCUAGAGUAUCAGAGAGGAUUGCAGAAUGCCUGGUGUAGCGGUGAAAUGCGUAGAUAUCAGGAGGAAUACCGUUAGCGAAGGCGGCAAUCUGGCUGGAAACUGACGCUGAGGUGCGAAAGCGUGGGUAGCAAACAGGAUUAGAUACCCGGGUAGUC
Molecule: ribosomal RNA, 465 nt
Filed under: uncultured bacterium
Lineage: Bacteria
Description: partial 16S ribosomal RNA
Rfam family: Bacterial small subunit ribosomal RNA
Source: RNAcentral